Podarcis lilfordi (Lilford's wall lizard) is the source of this 69-nucleotide non-coding RNA. The record is from the annotation of a GenBank genome assembly. Lineage: Eukaryota; Metazoa; Chordata; Lepidosauria; Squamata; Lacertidae.
GUUAGCUCAGUUGGUCAGAGCACGGUGCUGAUAAUGCCAAAGUCACAGGUUUGAUAACCUGUUUUAACA